Molecule: ribosomal RNA, 407 nt
Filed under: uncultured bacterium
Lineage: Bacteria
Description: partial 16S ribosomal RNA
Rfam family: Bacterial small subunit ribosomal RNA
Source: RNAcentral
GACGAACGCUCGCGGCGUGCCUAAUACAUGCAAGUAGAACGCAGUUGCGAACGGGUGAGUAACGCGUAGGUAACUGCCUCAUAGAGGGGGAUAACUAUUGGAAACGAUAGCUAAUCCCGCAUACUGUGAGAUGGACAUGCGUUGUAUUAGCUCGUUGGUGAGGUAAAGGCUAACCAAGGAGACGAUACAUAGCCGACCUGAGAGGGUUAUCGGCCACACUUGGACUGGGACACGUCCCAGACUCCUCCGGGAGUCAGCAGUAGGGAAUCUUCGGCAAUGGACGGAAGUCUGAACGGGCAACGCCGCGGGAGUGAAGAAGGUUUUCGCAUCGUAAAGCUCUGUUGUUAGAGAAGCGGUACCGAACCAGAAAUGGCCGGCUAACUACGUGCCAGCAGCCGCGGUAAUAC